This 439-nucleotide ribosomal RNA is filed under the name uncultured Clostridium sp. Its description in RNAcentral is "bacterial SSU rRNA". It matches the Rfam family "Bacterial small subunit ribosomal RNA", at positions 338 to 795 of the family's 1533-position model. The record is from RNAcentral. Lineage: Bacteria; Bacillati; Bacillota; Clostridia; Eubacteriales; Clostridiaceae.
CCUACGGGAGGCAGCAGUGGGGAAUAUUGCACAAUGGAGGGAACUCUGAUGCAGCGACGCCACGUGAGCGAUGAAGGAAUUCGUUUCGUAAAGCUCUGUCCUAGGGGACGAUAAUGACGGUACCCUAGGAGGAAGCCCCGGCUAACUACGUGCCAGCAGCCGCGGUAAUACGUAGGGGGCGAGCGUUGUCCGGAAUUACUGGGCGUAAAGGGUACGCAGGCGGCCAUGUAAGUCAGAUGUGAAAGACAUAGGCUUAACCUAUGUAAGCAUUUGAAACUGCUUGGCUUGAGUUAAGGAGAGGAAAGUGGAAUUCCUAGUGUAGUGGUGAAAUACGUAGAUAUUAGGAAGAAUAUCAGUGGCGAAGGCGACUUUCUGGACUUAUACUGACGCUGAGGUACGAAAGCGUGGGGAGCAAACAGGAUUAGAUACCCGAGUAGUC